This 684-nucleotide long non-coding RNA is filed under the name Mus pahari (shrew mouse). RNAcentral describes it as "lncRNA (MGP_PahariEiJ_G0012435.1)". The record is from RNAcentral. Lineage: Eukaryota; Metazoa; Chordata; Mammalia; Rodentia; Muridae.
GGAGAAUGGGAGAGAUGCGGGAGCUGUGGACCGGGGUGUUGAAGUUACCGUGGUUCUGUGGACUCAGUCGUCUCCAGUGGGGCUGAAGUUGGACGUCUCGCUGUCCAGGAGACGGAGCAGUCUGAGCUGGGAAAGUUUGGAGCUACGCGUGAUCGGAAAGAACGAGGAUUUCUUCGCACUAGCCCCUCUUCACCCGUCGGGACCGGAAGGAUGUGUGGAUUGAUGGCUUAAGAACAAAAUGAACUGGAAUUUUUUGAGUCCUUUGAGGCCUGCUCGGAUAUUUCCAUCCCUUCCUCCCAAGUCACCACCUCCUUCAGUGGAAUAGAAGGUAUUUCUUACACUUGAUUUUAGCCAAAAGGCAGGAAGUGACAAAGGAUUUCCUUGUGGAAAGGGAUGUGGUGGUCAACCUAGAUGCUCUCCAAGGAUGAUUGAGAAUUUGCACUUGCCUGGGUACUCUCACAUGCCAGAAACCAGUAGGAGAUCUGAUAUUUGGAAAUUCAAGAGGUUUCCCUCACUGGAUGGAGACCAAAAUUAUGCCUUUGUAUAAAUAAUUGCAUCCAACAUUAGCUGGUUUGCAAGUCAAAAGGGCUCAGUGAAUAUGACUCUGAGUCAGGGCCUUGCCCGGCACCAAGAAAGGCUCAAGUUACUUGUCUUUCAUUUUAGAAAAUUUCAUUACAUUUUUAU